RNAcentral lists this small RNA (27 nucleotides) under Bombyx mori (domestic silkworm). Its description in RNAcentral is "ovarian small RNA-28875". The record is from RNAcentral. Lineage: Eukaryota; Metazoa; Arthropoda; Insecta; Lepidoptera; Bombycidae.
UCGCUUCUAGGAGAUUGAGUGAGUUGU